This 329-nucleotide ribosomal RNA is filed under the name Hermetia illucens (black soldier fly). Its description in RNAcentral is "partial 12S ribosomal RNA". The record is from RNAcentral. Lineage: Eukaryota; Metazoa; Arthropoda; Insecta; Diptera; Stratiomyidae.
GAGUAGUAAUAGUUAUGUUCUUGAAACUUAAAAAAUUUGGCGGUAUUUUAAUCUAUUCAGAGGAACCUGUUCUAUAAUCGAUAAUCCACGAGGACUUUACUUAAACUUGUUUUUCAAUUUGUAUACCGCCGUUAUAGAUUAUCUUAUAAGAGAAUUAAUUUUCUUAAUUUUUUAAAAGUAUAUCAGGUCAAGGUGCAGUUUAUGUUUAAGGAAGAAAUGGGUUACAAUAAAUUUAUUUAAACGGAGGUAGAAUUGAAAAAUUUUACUGAAGGUGGAUUUGAAAGUAAAAUUAUGUAUAUAGUUAAUUUGACUUUGGCUCUAAAAUAUGU